GAGUCUGCGUUCCAUUAGCUUGUUGGCGGGGUAACGGCCCACCAAGGCAUCGAUGGGUAGCCGAUUUGAGAGGAUGAUCGGCCACACUGGAACUGAAACACGGUCCAGACUCCUACGGGAGGCAGCAGUGGGGAAUAUUGCGCAAUGGGCGAAAGCCUGACGCAGCGACGCCGCGUGAGGGAUGAAGGUUUUCGGAUCGUAAACCUCUGUCAGAAGGGAAGAAACUACGUUGUGCUAAUCAGCAGCGUACUGACGGUACCUUCAAAGGAAGCACCGGCUAACUCCGUGCCAGCAGCCGCGGUAAUACGGAGGGUGCAAGCGUUAAUCGGAAUUACUGGGCGUAAAGCGCACGUAGGCUGUAGUGUAAGUCAGGGGUGAAAUCCCACGGCUCAACCGUGGAACUGCCUUUGAUNCUGCACAACUUGAAUCCGGGAGAGGGUGGCGGAAUUCCAGGUGUAKGAGUGAAAUCC
This 470-nucleotide ribosomal RNA is filed under the name uncultured delta proteobacterium. RNAcentral's name for it is "bacterial SSU rRNA". It matches the Rfam family "Bacterial small subunit ribosomal RNA", at positions 227 to 689 of the family's 1533-position model. Lineage: Bacteria; Deltaproteobacteria. The record is from RNAcentral.